GGUUUCCAAGGCCUUAUAAAUUAUAAUAAAAGAAUAAAAUACAAUUUUCCACUCUCUCGCUCCUCUCUUUCCCUCUCCUCCAUCUCUCAUUUUUUGCCCUAACUGAUAGGGUUUCCAUGUCCAUAUAGCUCCAACCUCUCAUGCAUCAGUGCCUUCAACCUUUACCGAUCGUUGUUGCAGCAGCCUUAAUCGUUUCUGGGUCUCUCUCUUUCGAGGGUUUUUUGGCGGAAAGCUUUGCACUUUUGGCCUCCCAGAGGUUUUUGAGUUGCACCCAUGUCAAAGCUACUUGGUUUCUCCGAUGCUGAAGUUUGUUUGGCGACUUUAAAAUUAAGGAAUUUUCCUUGGAUAAGAUCCGGCAUUUUCAUUUCAGAUGCAGCUGUCUUUAAACAUAGUUACAGAGGAGGGCACUCUGUGGUUUGAUUUCAAGAGGGAUUAUGAUGCUUCUUUUGUUGUGAUUAGUUUUUUCUUUAAAGCGUUGUUAGAUGUGAUUCUAAAUGUACGCAGUGAAGAGUGGAGCCUUAUUUCAUUGGAUCCUAGAGGAGUAUAGAUUGCUUCUAAAAUGGAGCCUUAUUUCACGUGAUGUUUGAAACUAAAUCUGUGCAACCUGUGCUGCUAUAAUUUUUUUUUUUCCCAAACCAAAAAAAAAAAAAAAGAAAAAAAGAGAGGACCCGUGGACCAGGCCAGGUUAGGUCCGAUUGCUGUAUUGAAAUAUGAUGUACUCGGCCCGAUCCGUUUCUUUUAAACCUAGAUCCGGUCCGGUUCUUUCAAAAUUGGGCCCGGGCCGGUCCGUGCCCAGCUCUAUUCCCCAUCUCCCAAACUCCUAUUAGACUUAAGACGCCCACUCUUCUCCUCCUCGACAUCAUCCCUCACAAAAAACCCAGUCUCAGACCACCAUCGCCGUGGCGAGUCGCGACCACCACCACUUGAGCUCUCUUCCUCAAUGACAUCCCAGAGAACCCAGGUCUUAGAACCCAGUUCUCCCACUCCUGAUUCCAAGUCACAGACCAUCGAUUCACCAUCGUCCCCCAUCACUGCCGUCGCGACCACCGUCAUCCAGAACACUGCCGGUCAUCAUGUGAGCAAGAUCCCAGUUGAAAAUUCAUGUGGUGGUGGGUGAUAGGUGUAAAUGUACAAACUGAAGAAGAAGAGGAAUGCAUUUUUUUUUAUGGAA
Malus domestica (apple) is the source of this 1171-nucleotide long non-coding RNA. RefSeq lists it as uncharacterized. Lineage: Eukaryota; Viridiplantae; Streptophyta; Magnoliopsida; Rosales; Rosaceae. The record is from RefSeq and is a predicted model, not a curated record.